RNAcentral lists this ribosomal RNA (440 nucleotides) under uncultured bacterium. RNAcentral describes it as "partial 16S ribosomal RNA". It matches the Rfam family "Bacterial small subunit ribosomal RNA", at positions 338 to 795 of the family's 1533-position model. The record is from RNAcentral.
CCUACGGGAGGCAGCAGUGGGGAAUAUUGCACAAUGGGGGGAACCCUGAUGCAGCGACGCCGCGUGGGUGAAGGAGUAUUUCGGUAUGUAAAGCCCUAUCAGCAGGGAAGAACAAUGACGGUACCUGACUAAGAAGCACCGGCUAAAUACGUGCCAGCAGCCGCGGUAAUACGGAGGAUGCGAGCGUUAUCCGGAUUUAUUGGGUUUAAAGGGUGCGCAGGCGGAUUUUUAAGUCAGCGGUAAAAUCGUGGGGCUCAACCCCAUCCAGCCGUUGAAACUGGGGAUCUAGAGUGUGCGAGAGGUAUGCGGAAUGCGUGGUGUAGCGGUGAAAUGCUUAGAUAUCACGAAGAACUCCGAUUGCGAAGGCAGUUCACUGGACUGCAACUGACACUGAGGCUCGAAAGUGUGGGUAUCAAACAGGAUUAGAUACCCCAGUAGUC